Molecule: ribosomal RNA, 1652 nt
Filed under: Salmonella enterica subsp. enterica serovar Paratyphi A
Lineage: Bacteria; Pseudomonadati; Pseudomonadota; Gammaproteobacteria; Enterobacterales; Enterobacteriaceae
Description: 16S ribosomal RNA
Source: RNAcentral
UUUUCAUCAGACAAUCUGUGUGAGCACUGCAAAGUACGCUUCUUUAAGGUAAGGAGGUGAUCCAACCGCAGGUUCCCCUACGGUUACCUUGUUACGACUUCACCCCAGUCAUGAAUCACAAAGUGGUAAGCGCCCUCCCGAAGGUUAAGCUACCUACUUCUUUUGCAACCCACUCCCAUGGUGUGACGGGCGGUGUGUACAAGGCCCGGGAACGUAUUCACCGUGGCAUUCUGAUCCACGAUUACUAGCGAUUCCGACUUCAUGGAGUCGAGUUGCAGACUCCAAUCCGGACUACGACGCACUUUAUGAGGUCCGCUUGCUCUCGCGAGGUCGCUUCUCUUUGUAUGCGCCAUUGUAGCACGUGUGUAGCCCUGGUCGUAAGGGCCAUGAUGACUUGACGUCAUCCCCACCUUCCUCCAGUUUAUCACUGGCAGUCUCCUUUGAGUUCCCGGCCGGACCGCUGGCAACAAAGGAUAAGGGUUGCGCUCGUUGCGGGACUUAACCCAACAUUUCACAACACGAGCUGACGACAGCCAUGCAGCACCUGUCUCACGGUUCCCGAAGGCACAUUCUCAUCUCUGAAAACUUCCGUGGAUGUCAAGACCAGGUAAGGUUCUUCGCGUUGCAUCGAAUUAAACCACAUGCUCCACCGCUUGUGCGGGCCCCCGUCAAUUCAUUUGAGUUUUAACCUUGCGGCCGUACUCCCCAGGCGGUCUACUUAACGCGUUAGCUCCGGAAGCCACGCCUCAAGGGCACAACCUCCAAGUAGACAUCGUUUACGGCGUGGACUACCAGGGUAUCUAAUCCUGUUUGCUCCCCACGCUUUCGCACCUGAGCGUCAGUCUUUGUCCAGGGGGCCGCCUUCGCCACCGGUAUUCCUCCAGAUCUCUACGCAUUUCNNNNNNNNNNNNNNNNNNNNCUCAAGCCUGCCAGUUUCGAAUGCAGUUCCCAGGUUGAGCCCGGGGAUUUCACAUCCGACUUGACAGACCGCCUGCGUGCGCUUUACGCCCAGUAAUUCCGAUUAACGCUUGCACCCUCCGUAUUACCGCGGCUGCUGGCACGGAGUUAGCCGGUGCUUCUUCUGCGGGUAACGUCAAUUGCUGCGGUUAUUAACCACAACACCUUCCUCCCCGCUGAAAGUACUUUACAACCCGAAGGCCUUCUUCAUACACGCGGCAUGGCUGCAUCAGGCUUGCGCCCAUUGUGCAAUAUUCCCCACUGCUGCCUCCCGUAGGAGUCUGGACCGUGUCUCAGUUCCAGUGUGGCUGGUCAUCCUCUCAGACCAGCUAGGGAUCGUCGCCUUGGUGAGCCGUUACCUCACCAACAAGCUAAUCCCAUCUGGGCACAUCUGAUGGCAAGAGGCCCGAAGGUCCCCCUCUUUGGUCUUGCGACGUUAUGCGGUAUUAGCCACCGUUUCCAGUAGUUAUCCCCCUCCAUCAGGCAGUUUCCCAGACAUUACUCACCCGUCCGCCACUCGUCAGCAAAGCAGCAAGCUGCUUCCUGUUACCGUUCGACUUGCAUGUGUUAGGCCUGCCGCCAGCGUUCAAUCUGAGCCAUGAUCAAACUCUUCAAUUUAAAAGUUUGAUGCUCAAUGAAUUAAACUUCGUAAUGAAUUACGUGUUCACUCUUGAGACUUGGUAUUCAUUUUUCGU